AACGCACAUGGCGCCUUCCAGUAUCCUGGGAGGCAUGCCUGUCCGAGCGUCGUUUCAACCCUCGAGCCCCCGUGGCCCGGCGUUGGGGAUCUGCCACGGCAGGCCCCUAAAACCAGUGGCGGACCCGAAGGGCCCUCUCCUUUGCGCAGUAGCAUCAGCCUCGCAUCGGGAGUCCUCGGCGUCCUGCCUCUAAACCCCCUACAAGCCCGCCCCGGCGGCACCAAGGUUGACCUCGGAUCAGGUAGGAAUACCCGCUGAACUUAA
This 264-nucleotide unclassified non-coding RNA is filed under the name uncultured fungus. RNAcentral describes it as "partial contains 5.8S ribosomal RNA, internal transcribed spacer 2, and large subunit ribosomal RNA". RNAcentral also lists the same sequence under 1 other name. Lineage: Eukaryota; Fungi. The record is from RNAcentral.